This 450-nucleotide ribosomal RNA is filed under the name uncultured bacterium. RNAcentral's name for it is "partial 16S ribosomal RNA". It matches the Rfam family "Bacterial small subunit ribosomal RNA", at positions 354 to 796 of the family's 1533-position model. The record is from RNAcentral.
GUGGGGAAUCUUCCGCAAUGGACGAAAGUCUGACGGAGCGACGCCGCGUGAGUGAAGAAGGCCUUCGGGUCGUAAAGCUCUGUCAUCAGGGACGAAUGGCCGGUGGAGUGGAAAGCCACCGGAUUGACGGUACCUGAGAAGGAAGCCACGGCUAACUACGUGCCAGCAGCCGCGGUAAUACGUAGGUGGCAAGCGUUGUCCGGAAUUAUUGGUCGUAAAGCGCGCGCAGGUGGGAUCUUAAGUCCAUUUUGAAAGUUCGGAGCUCAACUGCGUGAUGGGAUGGAAGCUGGGAUUCUUGAGUACCGGAGAGGAAAGCGGAAUUCCCCGUGUAGCGGUGAAAUGCGUAGAUAUGGGGAGGAACACCGGUGGCGAAGGCGGCUUUCUGGACGGUGUCUGACACUGAGGCGCGAAAGCCAGGGGAGCGAACGGGAUUAGAUACCCGGGUAGUCC